Molecule: long non-coding RNA, 8670 nt
Organism: Brassica rapa (field mustard)
Lineage: Eukaryota; Viridiplantae; Streptophyta; Magnoliopsida; Brassicales; Brassicaceae
Source: RefSeq, a predicted model, not a curated record
UUCUAUUUUAAUAUAAUAUAGAAUAUACUUAUAAAAUUUAUAAAAUUAGCAAAUAAUUUCAUUAUAAAAUUUAGAAAAUUAGCAAAUAACUUCAUUAUUUUAUUUAUAAUAAAAAUGUAAUUAAAAUUAAUUUAUAAUAACAUUAUACUACUAAUUGCGAAAUUACAAUGCAUUAAUUAAAAGAAUAUUUAAAUUUUUAAAAAGAUUUUGUUAGGUUUUUUUCUCAACAGAUUUUGUUAUUCAUAAAACUAAAAUUUAAAUUUAUAGUUGUUAUUAAUAUCUUUAUAAUUAUUUAGAAAUGUUAUAGAUUAAAUAACCAAUGUAAACAAUAAAAAAUUAUUUAAAUAUAUGGAUCUAGAGUUCUAUUAUGACUAUUUUGUAGUAUAUAAAAAUGGUACUUCUCUUUUAAUAGAGAAGAUAUAACGAUGGUAAGCAUUUCUUAUCUGAUUCUUAUUUAUUUUUUAUACAUUAACAAUAGUAAGGUAAAAUAAACUAACCAAAUUUUUGGCACAUUGUGUGAACUACAUUUAUGAGUAGAAAACAAUCAUGAGAGAGACCGAUGGAUUGAAGAUAAAUAUUUUUAAUAUUUUCAUGAUGAUUAAAUAGUAAAAUAAACAGAAAUGAUUAAAUUCUACCAAAUAACAAAAGAUCUAAGUAUGCUUAAAAUGAGGUAAAAAUAUUUGAGAACAUUAAAAAGAUCAUGGUUUAGUAGUAUAUAUAUAUAUAAAUAUAUUUAAUACAUUUUCUAAGGAUGGUUUACUUUUUCAAAAAACCACACAUGAAAAGAAGUUGUGAUUUCUAUUUUAAUAGAUAAGACAAAUUUUUGGUUAUAUUUAUAUAAUCACGUUUUCUCUUUAUUUAAAGUAGGUAUGAGCAUAAAAUCUGUAACACAAAGUCUGAAUUGAACCCAAACAAAAAAAAAUAUUUGUACCCGGUCCAAAAGGUAAGAAAUACCAAAAUGGGUAUUGUAGGAUGGUAUAAACAUAUAUGAACUCGAAAUGUUAUUAGCCGAACGCGAAUGAGUAACUAAAAAAACAUAAAAAUCUGAAAAACUUCAAAUAUUCAAUUCUAUAUUAAUUUUUAAAUGAUAUUUAAAAAUAAGUAUUUAUAUUUUAAAUAAGUACCUUAAAUAUCCAAUCAUAAAUAAAUUUUUUUAUUUCUUAUGUUUUGUUUUUAAAUUUUGGAUUUAACUUCAGAUAUAUUUGAACCGAACUAAUAUAACUAGAAUCCAAACUACAUAGGUUAGUUUAUGGGUCUAAGGAUGUGAUACAAAUUAGAAUCAAAAUCGAUGUGUUAUAUCCGAACCCGGUCCGUAUUUAUAAAUUUACCAGAAUGAAAUCUAUGAUGUGAUAUAAAUUAUAGCCGAAAUUUAAAAUAUCCAACCCGUUUCCCCACGGAUACCUAAACGCUCAAGCCUAACUUAAAAUGUGUGUUUAUGUUUUGUUCAGUUAGUUUUAUAUUUGAUAAAUAUUUUACAUAUUUGUUGAAAAAACCUGUAAAACUAUACUCAUAAAAAUAUCACUAAUAACAUGUUUCAUCAUAUAAUUAAAUAUUAAUAGUAUCUACUUAUUAAUAUUUAUUUUAUAAAAAAUAUAUAAUAUAUAUAUAUAAUUAUACUAUUAUGUACUUAGCGAGGGUUUUGAAGAAUUUGUUUUUUUUUAUUUGGAUUAAAGUACAAUUAUAUAUAUAUGAAUUAGUAGGCAUAUAUAUUUCUUGUAUUUGUUAAAAUUAUAUAUACAUCUUAACGUAGGUAAAUGAUUUGGAUAGCAAAAAAAAUUAAAUCGCUUAAUGUGAGGACUUUUCAAGGGAUAUCAAAUAUUUGAGAUCUAUUAAGUUACAACAAUCAGUGAUUACAAUUUUUCCUAUUAUGAAAGUAAUUCAAUUCAGAUAGUAUCACAUAAUAUAGUUGCGAUUUUAUACCAGUGUGAUUAGAUUACAAAUUGUUAUAACUGCUGCAAAAUAUUCUUGUUUUCCAAAUAUUUUAUCAUAAAGAAUGCUUUGUAAAAUUUGAAAAAUAACAUUAACAUAGAAUGCAUAAAAAUGAUAGAUAACAUUUUUGUAACAAUGAUAAUUGUUCAGAAUCAUACUUUUUGAACCUUAUAUUGGAAUAUCAAGGAGUUCUUCUAAGCUUGGAAGAGACCUUGCAUUUGAACUGACUAUGAAUAAUGCGGGAUCACUUGUAUCAACAACUUAGAAUUUAAGGAUCCGUGUGACAUGUACAAAGCUUUUUUUCUUUUUGGUCAACAACAUGGACACAAAGCUAAAGCUGGUAAUUUGUGAUUUAGCUUUAAAUGUUCAGACCUCAACCUUUAAAUGUACAGGCUUCAAGAAAGUGGCAAAGCUUCAAAAAUAGACCAUUCUCACGAAGCUUAAAAAUCUAGAACAUGAUUUGUGAGAUAUCAAACUAAAUUCCACAUUGAAAAAUUAGAUAAGAAGUGUCUAAUAUAUAAAGAGAUAUCCAACUCUAAUUAGUACGAGACCUUUUAAGAAGGAAACCAAAAAUAAAUCCAUGCAGCUUUGCCUAAGGCCCAAAGUGUACAGACAAUAUUGUGCAGAGAUCAACGCUGAGCUACGAGUCCAGGAGGAGAAGAUGUCUCUUCUUGAAUGGCUUGCUGACGAGUACAAACGUUUUGGCUGAGUUCGUCACUAACAAGUCCCAAGAAGGUUGAUCAGAGACCAAUGGGGAGUUAGAGUGAACUACACAUCUCAUUUCAUAAAGUUCUUCUGCAUGGCUUUAUUUCAAGUCAACGCUUAAAAAUAUUAUAGAAAAAAUGUCUCAACAUAGCCAUGCUGCAUGAUGCAAGCAGGCUGUAGAUUGUCGAAGCAUUGGAUACUAUUUUGUAAUCUGUCUAGGCUUUACUAAGGUAGCACUUUGUAAGGCUAAGGUGUAAUAUGAAAGCUCUAAGUAGAAUUUAAGAGUUCUUAUUAAGUUUCUUAUUGGGCAAUUCUCAUAAAUAAACUAUUUUCAAGUUUUGGUCACAAAAAUAGACCACAAAGAGGAAAAUGACCAAAAUAUUUCAUUUAAUAGGUAAAAAGACAAUAAUACCCUAGAUAUAUAAAAAAAUAAAAAAUUUUUUUUAUAGUUUUAGAUUAUAUGUUUUCAAAUUCAAACUUUUUUAUAAAUUUUUUUUUUUUGAAUUUUUUCAAAUUUUCCUUUUGUAAUUCGAAAACAAUUUUGAAACUAUUUUUAAAAAUUUUAUUUUCAAAUUUUUAAUAUUUAUUUUCUAUUUUAUACAAUUUUAAACCUCAAACCCAAAUCUCCACCCCUUAAUUCUAAACCCUAAGGUUUGGAUUAGUUAACCCGAGGGUUAUAAGUGUAUAUUUACCUCUUUAAUAAAACAUUUUGGUCAUUUUAAUUCUUAGAGUCUAUAUUUGUGAUAUAAACUUUUUUAGUGCUAUCCUAGAGUAUUUCCAUUUCUUAUUUGUUUACAGAAAGGAGUCUCUGAUUUUUUGUGUUGUAAACAAAACUGCAUAAACACGUUUUAGGAAAGCAAAAACAAAAAUUCAUAUAUUUUUAGAAUAUUUUCAUAAAUAACUUCCAUAAUUUUUGGAGAUCAUGUGUAUCUUAUUCGUAUAAUAUAAUGUAUCUUCUACCCAACGUAGAAACCAUACAAUUUUCCUAUAAGCAGAUUCUACUAUAAGUAGCCUUUUGAGUUAUGUCUAGAUAUAAUAUUCCUAAAAUUUUAGAAUUGUUCAUAAAAAUAGAAGAUGUAUUGGAUAUAAUUGUAGAACCCUUUACAAUGGGUAGACUUUACAUUCUCCAUAUUAAGAGUUCUUUACAAAAGUAGAUUGUUGGUUCUAGACAAAAUAGAGUAUCUGUUAACGUGGAAUUCAAUUUCUACCAUGACAUUUUUCGUAGAUGAUGAAAUCUACUUUCGUAGAACAGAAUUAAUUUUUUUUAAUUUAACAAGUUUUUCAACCAAAAAAAUAUCAGUUUGUGUGCAUGGGUAUUUCAUCAAUUAUUUCUAUUUUUUAUAUUUUUUUAUGCCUAAAACUAUUUAUUUUAUUAAGUUUAAAAAUGGAAAGAGUAAUUAAAGAAAAAAUGGGAUAAAAAAGGUUUCAUACUAUAGGGACAAAUUAAAGAGUCUGUUUUUUCAUUCUAUUUUGGCAAAUUACCGGAAAAAAAAAGUAAGAGAAAAGAAUGAAGAUCUGUCCGCAGAGAAAAAGAAAGGGAGAGGGAGAUAGAUAAAAAACUAAAAUAAAUCGAUACCCUUAGAUUUAAGUUAAUUUAACAGCUCAUAAGGGUUAUCCUUGUAUAUUCUUCUGAUUGGUCAUAAACUUUUUACUUUCUUUUUAAUUAAUUUUCAAAUAAAUUUAGUUUAGAAUUUUAAUUUACAUGUUUAGGAUAUUAAAUAUUUAUGUUUUCUUUUGUGGUUUAUAUGGAUCUAAUUGGCCAAAAGAACUUUAUCUUUCUUUUUAUUUUAAAAUUUUUAGAAUUAAGUAGAGAAUAUUAGAUUUGAAGUUUUACUUAUGAAUUUUAAAUAUAUGGGGUUUGGAGUUACGGUAAGAUUUGAGAUUAUUUUUUAGAAAAAUAAAGUGAUAGUUUAUAUUAAUAUUUGGUGCUUAAGCUUAAAAUUAUUAAAUUAAUAUUUAGAUUAUGAUUUGGAUAGAGAGUUUAGGGUUUGAAGUGUAAUGUUAAGGCUUAGUUUUAAGAUUAAAUUUUGGAAAUAAAAAAUUUGAGUAUUAUUUUAAGAUUUGGACAUAAAGUAUGAACAAUAGGGGUGUUGAAUACAGUAUGAUAGUGUUUAUAAAAUUUGGAGUAUAAGGUUUAUGUAUAAAUUUUAGGGCUUAGAUGUAUGUUUAGGGUAUAAAGUUUGACUAAAUAUUUAAGGUUUGUGUUUUGGAAGUUAUAGAUGAAGAUUAAAAGGAAUAAUUUUUUUGAAUUUAAGUUUACUAUUUCAGGUUAUAGUAUGAAAAAUUAGAGUCUUGAGGUUUAUGUUUAGAGUUUAGGGUUUUAAACAUUUUUAGGUUUAGGGUUUCAUAGAUUAGAAAUUGAUCUUUCAUAGCAAUUUUCAAAACAAAGCUAUCAUAAUGUGCUAUCGAAAAAGAGAAAAAAUUAUGUCUUGCGCUCGCCUAGUUUUCGCCUAAGUAUUGGCGAUAUUAGUGGUUUAAUAAACUAUCACUUCAUUAUUUUAUAUUUAAAAUAAUAAAGUGAUAGUUUAGAUUUAAAAGUUAUGUCUUAGCGGUAUUAGUGGUUUUCAUUUCCCGCUCACUUUUUUCCAUAGUAGCGUUAAUUAAUUGCUAUUAAUAUAAGCCAAAAUCAGAAAUUAAUAUUUCUUAGCAGUUUUGAAAAAAAUGCUAUCAUAAUAUGCUAUCAAUACCUCUUUUGUAGUGAAACAUUCACGAGAAGCUUGUGCCGGUUGCGGAAAGCUCGCCGGGUGAGCUUACUUCACAAGGAAGCAAGAUGUUAAUGUCGCGACUUCGCUUUGAAUAAAUUGAAGACUUGGAUGUCGGUGUUCUUUGAGUCCAAUGACCUUCCAAGCCUCGGCUAGUCGGCUGCAUCUUUAGUAGAACUCAAUGAUGAGUUUAUAUAUUGAAUGUGCCGAGUUUGAGCCUUAAUUUCUGAUUCCACGUGGAGAAGUUAUGCUGAAACUAACAUUCUCAAACUUGAUUGACAGAGAAGCUUGAUUCACAUAGAAGCUUGUCUUGACGACCUAUAGAGAAGAAGAAAGGUGAGGUCAUGUCUUGUGAACCGUUUCUUCUUGAUAAGGAGCUUGUGCCGAUUGGGGCAAGCUGAUAGAGUUUGCACUCGGAUUCUUCUUCAAAAACUCGAUCCCAAUAGUACAAACUCGUGUUUAUUGAAUAAAAAGAUUGAGAUUGCAUUUUGUAUCAAAGAUCAAUCUAGAAACGAUGGUUUAACCCAAUCGGACUCUCAUCAAGUUUCACGACUCAAUCUCUCAUACAAAGGUAGCUAAACAAAUGAACUCUAUGUGCCUUUUUAAGCUGUUCAGCGAUCUCCAACGGAAAAUAUUUUUUUCUGGCCCAGUCUUUUAAGACUAGCUGGCUGAUACAAAGUCUUCUUUUGAAUUUAAAUGUUUUCUGGUUUCCCAUGUGCUUCUUCUUCUCCUUUGUUUAUCAUCUCCCUCACGUAACAGUACUGCAGCUUAUCACAAGCUUGUCGUUAAGGCUUGCUUGAGAAAUAGCAGAACUAUUUGACUAUCCAUCUAGAGAUUUUGGAACUUUUCCGGUGUCAAACCAUGACCGCCGAGACAAUCCCGGAGCGAGAAGACUUGAACAAUAUGAUGCUGCUAGACGAUCUCAACCUCAUUAACGAGCUCUGAGAUCAAGCGUUCAAGCGUUCUCUACUCUAUGAAAUUGGUCUCAAGCUCCAAACCAUACCAGUCAUCUAUUGUUAUAACAUACAUGCAACCUAUCUCUAUGCGAAUCCAAUCUUUCAUACCAGUAUGAAGCACAUAGCACUGGACUAUCAUUUUGUUCGUAGCCAGAUUCAAGUGGGUGCUUUACGUGUCGCACACGUCUAAACUCGUGAUCAACUAGUAGAUGCUCUAGCAAAACCAUUGCCUCGAAAACAAUACCAGGUUGCAAUUUCCAAGAUUAUAGUGACUGGAAGCCCCUACAUCUUGAGGGGGCGUAUUAAGGAUAGUGCAUCUAAAUAUGUAAAGCCGUAUAUACACAUUGAUCGUAAUUGAUCUUAACCUAGGCUCUCCUCUCCUCAUGUAUUUCCUUAUAUACCUUGUACAUUCUCAUAUGUUAAUACACAUCUCAAUAUUCAAAACCUAUACCACAUAUUACAAGAUUUCCUCUUGCCAACUUUAUACCUAGUAUUUCUAGUUUUUACCAUUGUCUAGGCAAAACACACAUCUUACAAACCACCUUACACAUAUUCAUCGACCUUUUAGUUUUAGUAGUUUUUGGAUAAAAGAUCAAAUACUUCUUCAGAGAUUUGUAUUGUAACUCCAGUAUCUCUUACUCUAUUUUAUGCAUGCAAUUCAUUUAGUUAUUCUUUAUGUCUUGUUUAAUUAUGUAUGAGCAAUCAUCCUAUUAGAUUUAGGGUUUUUAUUAUGAUUUUGAUGAAUUAUUGAUACAUAGAACUGCUAGGGUGAUUUAUUAGGAUCCUUCACAUCAUUGAUCUAACUGUUUGUGUUAUAGAGUAGCUAACUAGAACUCUGGAUUAAGGAUAAUAGGCAUCUACGAAAUUAAGUUUUUUACAUGAUAAUAAUUAUGCUGAGCUGGGUUGUUGAUAUACAUGAAUUUUACAUGCUUUUAGCCAUGGUAUAUAAGUGCCCGACUAGGCGCCGGGAAGUCGCUCGGUGGAGCUGGGCAAUGGCAAAUUCAUUUCACGGAGAUAGGUGUAUAAUCUUUUUUUUUGAGUUUUGAAUGUGUAAUACUGAUGUUUUAUGGCAAAUCUAUCUAUUUGAGACUCAGCUAACACGGAAUCAUACAACAAUUUGAUGUUUUGAAUGUAAUUAGCUGAUGGCCGCCAUGGAAAUAGCUCUUCAGAGUCGAAACCCUAAAAACAAAAAUCAGGGGAAGAUGAUGAAAAUUACGAUUAUGCCACUGAUUAAAAAAUUAAAUAAAAAAGAAACCAAAAUGCGUUUAGGUAGUGUCAAACCCAGCGACUGGUGAACAAAUUCAACAUCUCUUACCACUAGGCCACUGUAAAUUAAUGGUCCCUGUCCAAAAUAAUCGAAUGUAUUACAAAAAGUAUCCUAAAACUGAAAAUAGUACCAAAAACUAAUCCUCGCUUAAUCUCCGUUUUAUCCCCCAUUUUUUGCUAACUCGCUAGAUCCAGACCAGCCGCCCCACUAGCACCUAACGUAGUUUUGAACAGAGGUAUUUACCCACGUGCUACGCACGGGUCAGUUUCUUCCUUCUAAAUUUAUGAUUUCUUAUGAAUUUAUGUUUAAAUUACAAUCACAUAGAAUACACAUGUACUUGUUCUUCUAACUAUUGAAAUCCAGAUUUAUAUAUAAAGGAUUUUUUAACUAUUGAAAGAAAAUGACUUAUUCUAGGAUAAUCAGCUACUUUAACAAAAAAUUUAUAUAUGAUGAUCAAUUCACGGCAUAAAACUGAAGUAGAUGUACGAUUUUAAAAUGCUACACGUGAUAUUAUAGUAUUGUUCUGGUGGUUUUAUGUGUAUGAAAGGUGUGUCAUGAAUACUUGUUCUUCUCAAUCUUUAUAGGUUAAUAUAGGGUAUAACUUUUGAUAAACGUCCUAGAGCAUCCAACAUAAUAUCAAGAGUAUUCGUUUUAAAAUCAUAAAAUUGAUGCAAGGCCACACAAGUAACUCAAUAAACAUAAGCCACAAAACAGAUACGUAAAUACUUAAUAUUAAUACUCUUGGCUAGUCUGGAUUUCUAAGUAAUCAUCUCUCUCUCAUACAAAGCCUAUGUAUUUUUUUUGUUAAAUGCAUGAUGAAGUCAGGGUUAUAUAUUUUUUUUCUUUGAAAGUAAAUGGAAGCAUUUUGAGAGGGAUAAAUGCAUUAAAGCCACAAGUGAGGAACAUACUUCGUUACCUUAGUUGCUGUCGCUGAUGAUGAAGUUUCUAUUUUCACAUUCUUUUGAAGAAUUAAGCUCUGAUUCAAGUUUCAUCUUCAAUCUUCAAGAUACACAACAGAAACAAUAAAUAUUAACAGUUAUAAAUCUGUACAGUUCUUCUGUACACAGUCAAAAUAUUAACAAAAACAAAAGGAUUACAAUGAGGACGACAA